This 200-nucleotide unclassified non-coding RNA is filed under the name soil metagenome. RNAcentral describes it as "partial contains internal transcribed spacer 2 and large subunit ribosomal RNA". The record is from RNAcentral.
UUCAGUUAGGCGUUCCAGCAUAGUGAUUAUAUUAGCUGUAGAAAUGUCUUUUGUAUGCAGUCAAUAGCUAAUGAAGUCCAGGGUUUCUGUUGAGAAGAAGCCUGAUGAGACGUCUGAUGGUUUUUGAAGGCAGGAAUUUGGUUGGAUGGAUUUCCUGAAUUAUUGACCUCGGAUCAGGUGAGGAUACCCGCUGAAUUUAA